AAUGAAAAAUAAAGUCAAUUUUGAAACGAUUUCUCUCCGAAUGGAAAAUUGCUGAUGGAAGCCAAAACAUUUAGCAGCAGAUCAGUCUGCUGCGCUAAGCUAAACUGUACACCUCUUGGCCGCAGCGUCAUCUUCAAUAGACACAUAUGAGUGGGAGUCUCUGUGACUUGCCCUGAGGGGGGAGGAAAGGGAGUCAUGAGAAACGGAGCCUGGUGAGAUGUGCCAGUGGCUGGCUGGGUCCAAACGCCGAGCUCCAGAACUAGGUGGAUUAUGAUGGACAGCUGCUCCCUAUGGACUUAAAGGCCAACAGACAAGGAUACCUGCCGACUGGACUGAACUUCGACUCUGUCCUCCCCGAAAUGUCCGUUUCAUAUCUUUGUCAUCUUUUCACUU
This is a long non-coding RNA of Scophthalmus maximus (turbot), 393 nucleotides long. RefSeq lists it as uncharacterized. The record is from RefSeq and is a predicted model, not a curated record. Lineage: Eukaryota; Metazoa; Chordata; Actinopteri; Pleuronectiformes; Scophthalmidae. The transcript has 3 exons.